RNAcentral lists this transfer RNA (87 nucleotides) under Rufibacter glacialis. RNAcentral describes it as "tRNA-Gly". The record is from RNAcentral. Lineage: Bacteria; Pseudomonadati; Bacteroidota; Cytophagia; Cytophagales; Hymenobacteraceae.
CGCCAGUGACCUGGAGGUGCUUACCUCCCGUGAAGGCAUCAUCGCCUACAGCGUGGGGCUUCGGCAGUUCUACUCCACCGCUGGGGU